This 468-nucleotide ribosomal RNA is filed under the name uncultured bacterium. Its description in RNAcentral is "partial 16S ribosomal RNA". It matches the Rfam family "Bacterial small subunit ribosomal RNA", at positions 28 to 507 of the family's 1533-position model. The record is from RNAcentral.
GACGAACGCUGGCGGCGUGCUUAACACAUGCAAGUCGAACGGAAAGACCCUGCGUUUGUGGGGUGCUCGAGUGGCGAACGGGUGAGUAACACGUGAGUAACCUGCCCUUGACUUUGGGAUAACUUCAGGAAACUGGGGUUAAUACCGGACAGGAGCUCCUGCUGCAUGGUGGGGGUGGGAAAGUUUCGGCGUUUGGGGAUGGACUCGCGGCUUAUCAGCUUGUUGGUUGGGUAGUGGCUUACCAAGGCUUUGACGGUUAGCCGGCCUGGGAGGGUGACCGGCCACAUUGGGCCUAAGGUACGGCCCAGAGUCCUACGGGGGGCAGCGGUGGGAAAUAUUGCACAAUGGGCGGAAGCCGGAUACAGCGACGCCGCGUGCGGGAUGACGGCUUUCGGGUUAUAAACCGCUUUCGCCUGUGACGAAGCGUGAGUGACGGUAAUGGGUAAAGAAGCACCGGCUAACUACGUG